AACGACUCUCGACAACGGAUAUCUCGGCUCUCGCAUCGAUGAAGAACGUAGCGAAAUGCGAUACUUGGUGUGAAUUGCAGAAUCCCGUGAACCAUCGAGUCUUUGAACGCAAGUUGCGCCCGAAGCCACUAGGCUGAGGGCACGUCUGCCUGGGUGUCAUGC
Molecule: ribosomal RNA, 162 nt
Filed under: Libanotis iliensis
Lineage: Eukaryota; Viridiplantae; Streptophyta; Magnoliopsida; Apiales; Apiaceae
Description: 5.8S ribosomal RNA
Rfam family: 5.8S ribosomal RNA
About the family: 5.8S ribosomal RNA (5.8S rRNA) is a component of the large subunit of the eukaryotic ribosome.
Source: RNAcentral